CUCACACCCACUACUUACGCGCCAGGCGCCUCUUUGGACGCCACUCCACAGCCUCGUGUGUUAAGAGGCACACAAGAGCUGCCUGAUUGGCUCCCAAGCUGAGAACCGGGAGCCGGAGGAAAUCAUAGCGAAAUCUCAACCUGAUGUAGCCCCAUCAGCAUCACACACACACUCAGAGCAAAAUGGCCUGCUCUUCAAUGUAGCUUAGUUUAGUUCAAUUGUCCUGCCCACCCCCUCCUGACCCUCCUGCCGCUGAGGGGUGGUAUUUGAAAGAACAGCUGCUUGCACAUGUAACAGCUUCCAGGAUAACCAAUGAGCUGGAACCAGUAAGAUGUGGCUGGGGAAGGGGGCUUCUCAUCUGUCAGCUGGGGAGCCUCGUGGGGCCUUACAUGGACUCAACUUCUUACCAGUCCCAGAAGAGCACCCCAACGGCCCUGGGAUUUUCAACUCUGAAGCAUAAGACAAGUUAAUGAAGCAUCCAAUUCACACCAGCUUUUAUCUGUCAGAGAAACACCAGCAAGCAAGGUAGAGACACCAAGCCAAACCCUGAUGUGCAAGUAUGAACUUCAUGUUAAUUAGGAAGCGGAAGAAUGUGUGGGUUUCUCUAAUGCAGACUCAUCAUACGAAGUCAGCUGAUUCAAAUGCUCUCAACCUGAGCUUCGGGUCAUUUGUGUUAGCUGUAAGGCCAUCUGAGGCAGAUGCAUUGAACCUGACCUUGAGAGUAUCCUUGACCACUUGACCAAGAGGCCAGAGACUCUACAAGUGUGCUCAGGCCAGAUGGCUAACUCAACUAGUGCCUGGCAGGAAGACUCAAGAUGCCAGCUUCUCCCCUAAACCAUGUGAACAUUCAACCAUUUUAAACUACAAAAACAACAAUUUCAACCAAAACACUGGACCAUUGACUAUUUUACUGGAAGUUUCUCUCUUAGAGUAUGAUGAAAAGAGGAUUGGGUGUAAGAGACCUGGCUGCAAGGCUCACCUCCACUAAGUAGCCAUAGACAUUUUGGCCACUAAUGUGCUGUGAGUCACCUUAUUCCUCUGGUCCACAGCUUCUUCAUCUGGGAAAGGAAGACAUUGGAUUGUAAAGUAAGAAUAGCCCACAUUUUUUAGCGUUUGC
RNAcentral lists this long non-coding RNA (1117 nucleotides) under Pan troglodytes (chimpanzee). RNAcentral's name for it is "long non-coding RNA NONPTRT009019". Lineage: Eukaryota; Metazoa; Chordata; Mammalia; Primates; Hominidae. The record is from RNAcentral.